This 77-nucleotide transfer RNA is filed under the name Escherichia coli. RNAcentral describes it as "tRNA-Arg". It matches the Rfam family "tRNA". From Rfam's summary of the family: Transfer RNA (tRNA) molecules are approximately 80 nucleotides in length. Their secondary structure includes four short double-helical elements and three loops (D, anti-codon, and T loops). RNAcentral also lists the same sequence under 1 other name. The record is from RNAcentral. Lineage: Bacteria; Pseudomonadati; Pseudomonadota; Gammaproteobacteria; Enterobacterales; Enterobacteriaceae.
GAUGGUGUAGCUCAGCAGGAUAGAGCAGCAGCCUUCUAAGCUGUCGGUCGGUGGUUCGAAUCCACCCACCAUCGCCA